CAAGGAGUCGGAGCGGGUAUUUAUAUCCGUCACGGCGUGCCUAUUGAAGAAUGAGCCAACGAGUUUAUGUGUGCGGCUUGGCUAAGGGGUAAAGCUCCGGAGUCGCAGGGAAACCAAGUGUUAAUAGCGCGUAAUUGGUCGUACACAUAAGACCCGAAGCCAGGUGAGCUAUCCAUGAGCAGGGUGAAGUGCUGAGAAAUCAGCAUGGAGGCCCGAACCGGUAGAUCGUACAACGUCUUCGGAUGACUUGUGGAUUGGAGUGAAAAGCUAAUCGAACCUGGUAAUAGCUGGUUCUCUCCGAAAUAGCUUUAGGGUUAGCGUCAUGUGAUCCCAUUGGGGGUAGAGCACUGGAAAGUUUCGACAGGGAGCAAUCUCGCGAAAUUUAUCAAACUCCGAAUACCAAUUGGUUAUAAUAUGGCAGUUAGACUACGGGGGCUAAGCUCCGUCAGUCAAAAGGGAAACAGCCCAGAUCUCUAAAUAAGGUCCCUAAAUAUACACUCAGUGCGUCUUAAGGAGGUAAGGUUUCUUCGACAAUGAGGAAGUUGGCUUAGAAGCAGCCAUCUUUUAAAGAAAGCGUAACAGCUCACUCAUCAAGAGACCUCGCGCCGCAGAUAAUCGGGGCUUAAGUGUAUUACCGAAUUUGAGGGCUCGUACAUUAGUACGAGCGGUAGGAGAGUAUUCCACUCUAGCAGUGAAGCCAAAGGCGUGAGCCAUGGUGGAGCGUGUGGAAGUAAGAAUGUUGGCACAAGUAACCGCAAGCAGGGUGAGAUCCCCUGCCGCCGAAAAACUAAGGUUUCCUGGGCAACGGUAAUCGUCCCAGGGUUAGUCGGGUCCUAAGGCAAUGGUGAAAACCGCAGCCGAUGGACACAUGGUUAAUAUUCCAUGACUUCUUUAAUAUUCGAUGGAGUGACGAAGGAUAGUAGUGUAUGCCGGUUAUUGGAUUCCGGUAGGCAACUCGACUGUGAGGGAUAGGUAAAUCCGUUCCUCGUUAACAACAGGGUUGUCUCGUGCAGAGGUACGCCAAAGCGAAGAUACAUGAGCAUACUUCCGAGAAAAGCUUCUAAGAUUAGUAUUAGAGAACCCGUACCGUAAACCGACACAGGUAGUUAGGUCGAGUAGACCAAGGCGAACGAGUAAGAGAUCCCCAAGGAACUCGGCAAAUAAGCAGCCGUAACUUCGGAAUAAGGCUUCCCCCCACUUAACUGUGGGGGGCGCAGCGAAAGAUUUCCUGGCAACUGUUUACCAAAAACACAGCUCCCUGCGAACUCGUAAGAGUAUGUAUAGGGGGUGACACCUGACCGAUGCCAGAAGGUUAAAUACGGGUGGUGCGAUUAUAUCAAGCUGACUUGUAUAAGCCCUGGUGAAUGUCGGCCGUAACUAUAACGGUCCUAAGGUUCUGGUAUUGAAAUAUUCUCGAUACCAGAAGGACUGGGACCGUUAGGCAGUUAGGCUACAGUUCACUGUAGAACAGUUUUUAGUAACAGUAUUAAACAGAUAAUCAGAACACUUCCAGCUACCUAUUGCAUAGAAAUAUGUAAAUAGUCCAAACAUGAUCAACGAGAGACCAACGUCAUGGGCCUUAACUCGCAAGAGCAGGCUAAGAUAGAGUCCUUCUGAGAGGAAUAGAAGAGCGAAAUUCCUUGUCGGGUAAGUUCCGACGCGCACGAAUGGUGUAAUGACUGGGAAGCUGUCUCGGGGAUUUGCUCGGUGAAAAUACAGUACCGGUGAAGAUGCCGGUUACCUGCAGUUAGACGAAAAGACCCCGGAAGCUUUACUAUAGCUUGGUAUUGGGUAUGAUUGUGUAUUACGUAGCAUAGGAAGGAGACUUUGAAGCGCCGCUCUCGGGCCGCGUGGAGUCGUCAGUGAAAUACUUCUUUUUAUAUGGUCAUAUCCUAACCCUUACGGCAAAAACGUAAGGGAACAGUGCCUGGUUGGUAGUUUUACUGGGGCGGUAUCCUCCUAAAGAGUAACGGAGGAGUUCAAAGGUACGCUAGGCGCGAAUGGAAACCGUGCCGAUAGUGCAAUGGCAUAAGCGUGCUUGACUGUAAGUCGGCCAUGACGAGCAGGUACGAAAGUAGAACAUAGUGAACCGACAAUUCGCAUUAGAUGCGGUUGAAGAUUAACGGAUAGAAGCUACUCCGGGGAUAACAGGCUAGUUCCGCCUAAGAGUUCAUAUCGACGGCGGAGUUCGGCACCUCGAUGUCGGCUCACCUUAUCCCGGGGCUGGAGAAGGUCCCAAGGGUAUGGCUGUUCGCCAUUUAAAAAGGUACGCGAGCUGGGUUCAGACCGUCUAGGAAUUAGUUUACUGAUUUCUAGACCCGUCUGAAUCCCGAGGAAAGUUUUUUGAUUAUUUUUUAAUGUAAUAGAAAAAUAUGUUUUAGUCUUUUCGUCUAAGAUACAUAUCAAUGGUCCUGCAAUAUCAUUGUUAUGUAAAAGAUAUAAUAAUUAUGUUACUCAAGAGUAACAGAUUAAAAGAGAACCAUCUUAUUACGGCGGUCCUAUGUAGCGAUACAUAGCGACAUGCUCAACUAAUAUCGGUAGAACCCCACAGGGGCAAUACCGAGGGAAGGUUUUGUGAAUUUCAUAGAGGACUUUGUUCU
This 2600-nucleotide ribosomal RNA is filed under the name Craterellus lutescens. RNAcentral's name for it is "bacterial LSU rRNA". The stretch from base 1 to 2326 matches the Rfam family "Bacterial large subunit ribosomal RNA", at positions 566 to 2925 of the family's 2925-position model. The record is from RNAcentral. Lineage: Eukaryota; Fungi; Basidiomycota; Agaricomycetes; Cantharellales; Hydnaceae.